Unclassified non-coding RNA from Callithrix jacchus (white-tufted-ear marmoset), 285 nucleotides. It matches the Rfam family "Metazoan signal recognition particle RNA". From Rfam's summary of the family: The signal recognition particle (SRP) is a universally conserved ribonucleoprotein. It is involved in the co-translational targeting of proteins to membranes. The eukaryotic SRP consists of a 300-nucleotide 7S RNA and six proteins: SRPs 72, 68, 54, 19, 14, and 9. The record is from Ensembl. Lineage: Eukaryota; Metazoa; Chordata; Mammalia; Primates; Cebidae.
GCCGGGUGUGGUGGCACAUGCCUAUAGUCCCAGCUACUCUGGAGGCUGAGGCUGGAGGAUCACUUGAGUACAGGAGUUCUGAGCUGCAGUGUGUUAUGCACUAAGUUCGGCAUCAAUAUGGUGACCUCCCAGGAGCGGGGAACCACCAGGUUGCCUAAGGAGAGGUGAACCGGCCCAGGUCAGAAACGGAGCAGGUCAAAACUCCUGUGCUGAUCAGUAGUGGGAUCGCACCUGUGAAUAGCCACAGCACUCCAGCCUGGCCAACAUAGUGAGACCCCAUCUCUU